GGCGGCGUGCCUCAGACAUGCAAGUCGAACGCGAAAUCCCGAGCAAUCGGGAGAGUAGAGUGGCGCACGGGUAAGUAACACGUAGGUAAUCUACCUUCGGAUGGGGAAUAACAACCGGAAACGGUUGCUAAUACCGCAUAAUGCAGCGGCACCUAAUGGUGACAGUUGUUAAAGCGGGGGAUCGAAAGACCUCGCGUCUGAAGAGGAGCCUGCGGCGGAUUAGCUAGUUGGUAAGGUAAUGGCUUACCAAGGCAACGAUCCGUAACCGGCCUGAGAGGGCGGUCGGUCACACUGACACUGACAUACGGGUCAGACUCCUACGGGAGGCAGCAGUCGGGAAUUUUGGGCAAUGGGCGAAAGCCUGACCCAGCAACGCCGCGUGAAGGAUGAAAUCCCUCGGGAUGUAAACUUCGCAAGAACGGGAAGAAUAAGCCGGUGUAAAUAUCACCGGUGAUGACGGUACCGUUUGUAAGCUCCGGCUAACUCCGUGCCAGCAGCCGCGGUAAUACGGGGGGAGCAAGCGUUGUUCGGAUUUACUGGGCGUAAAGGGCGCGUAGGCGGCCAGCACAAGUCAGUUGUGAAAUCUCCGAGCUUAACUCGGAAAGGUCAACUGAUACUGUGCGGCUAGAGUGCGGAAGGGGCAACUGGAAUUCUUGGUGUAGCGGUGAAAUGCGUAGAUAUCAAGAGGAACACCUGCGGCGAAGGCGGGUUGCUGGGCCGACACUGACGCUGAGGCGCGAAAGCU
RNAcentral lists this ribosomal RNA (745 nucleotides) under uncultured soil bacterium. Its description in RNAcentral is "bacterial SSU rRNA". It matches the Rfam family "Bacterial small subunit ribosomal RNA", at positions 38 to 761 of the family's 1533-position model. The record is from RNAcentral.